GGUGGCUCAGUGGUAGAGUGCUUGCCUAGCAAGCAUGAGGCCCUGGGUUCGAUUCCUUAGAACCA
This 65-nucleotide transfer RNA is filed under the name Dipodomys ordii (Ord's kangaroo rat). It matches the Rfam family "tRNA". From Rfam's summary of the family: Transfer RNA (tRNA) molecules are approximately 80 nucleotides in length. Their secondary structure includes four short double-helical elements and three loops (D, anti-codon, and T loops). Further hydrogen bonds mediate the characteristic L-shaped molecular structure. tRNAs have two regions of fundamental functional importance: the anti-codon, which is responsible for specific mRNA codon recognition, and the 3' end, to which the tRNAs corresponding amino acid is attached (by aminoacyl-tRNA synthetases). tRNAs cope with the degeneracy of the genetic code in two manners: having more than one tRNA (with a specific anti-codon) for a particular amino acid; and 'wobble' base-pairing, i.e. permitting non-standard base-pairing at the 3rd anti-codon position. The record is from Rfam by way of RNAcentral. Lineage: Eukaryota; Metazoa; Chordata; Mammalia; Rodentia; Heteromyidae.